CUGAUUCAAUGACGUUUUGGUAAGCAUAUUUUGCUUCUCCUCCAUCCACCCUCCUGUUCCUUAGGCUACUCCUGGACCUUGGGCCUUUUCCCAGUGUGAUUUAAGAAAAUCAUGUAACAUCCCGGCCUAUCAAGUGCUAUGCUUUCUGACUGCAGAGGCAUAUGGAGGUAACUCCACCUUUUUUUAAGACCUAAAGCCUAUACACUUUUAAAUGCAAAACAAAUACAAAAUCAUGAACACAAAUUAGAUGUGGGAAGUUGAGAGAGGUCUGAACAAGCGAAGGGCCUCCAUGCUUAUAAUUCAUUAGCUUCCUGAUAAAUCUGCUUAGGGGCCUAAGGAUAUGUAUGAAAGCUCUUCUCCAGGAGUUUGGCCUUCCUGACCUGGAGCCAAGUUCACUGAGCAAACACAAAACCCCUAAGUCCCAGGAAAGCUCUCCCACUGUAAUAGGAGUCAGGAGGAACCACCUCUUUGCUUCUCCGCCCACCUAAAUGCUGCACAAAUGGAUGUCGAUAUCUCUUAAGGCAGAGCCGGGGAUUGCCAUCCUAAGAAAGCUAUAAUGGGCCCACGUUUUCCUGGUUUGCCAAUGAGCCCAGCCCUGCUGGCGGGCACUUGGCUGGAGCGGGGAGCUUACCCCUGAGCCACCCACCAAAGCAGGCAUGGGCAAGCAUGGACCCAGGGCCCACAGGGUGCUGCCCAAACUAGGAACCAUGAAAGAAAAGCAGAAGUAGGAGUCAGCCCUUUCCUCCGUGUGGGAGCUAAAACUCUUGACCGAGAGACCUUGGAACUUUGUGACCCUGGGUUACACCACAUUGUAUUGCAAUAACUCAGGCAGGGACAGGGACAGGGGCUUAGGCCAUAAAAGACUUCAGGGCCUGGUGUUGAAACAGUGUGAUGAGCGCGAGUCAGGGGGUCAUCUGGACUUGGGUUGCUUCUCCCGUGCAAUGGAGCUGCGCAAACCAGCAUCUCCGAGGUCUCCUCACAUCCUGUGAAGUCACAAAAUGUCCAUCUGGGGACUCACUGUUUGUUUGAGCCAUUCCAUUCCUUCUCCAGUCAAGUUGGGACCUCGCUUGUCCCAACCUCCCACUGCCUCUGUCUCUGUCUCCUUCUGGCUCCGUCAAGGCUGCUCUCUGAUCAAACUGCAGACUGCGGUGUGGUAACCAAACGGGAAAACAGGCUUCAGCGCACCGACUUCCAAAACAGGCACCUUGAGACAGGACAGAGCAGGGAGAGAAAGACCAAGAACCCGUCUUCUUUUGGAAACUUGUCCUGUUUCCCAUAGUUUCAUGAUUGCUAUGGCCAAAAAAAAAAAAAAAAGUAAAAGAGUCAACACUAAAAAGGUGGGUUCCUCAGAUGAGAGGAGGACCCCAGACCUCCUCGAGGACUGAUACUAUCUAUUGAGCCAGACAGGCCAGCCCUGGGGAGGCCAGGACAGCAAGGGAAGAUGGCCAGGCAGGAUGGACCGGGCAUCUCUCUCCAGAAAUACACUAAACAUGGUUGUUUCCCAUGCUGGGGGCCAACUCCGCAUGGCCCUCAGGGGCCUAGCUGUCCUUGAGCCUGUCCCAUGAGUCAUUAAGAAAGCCGCUGAGCUCCCACCCAUCUUGGCUGCUAAACUCCUGAAGGCUGCCUCCCUCACCCCAGCCCAUCUGCCAGCCCUUGUGUAUCUCGCCAUCUCCUUUUUCUCUUCCCCUCACCUCCGAAUGCUCCUCCUGCCCUGCGACACCAGGGGACUGUGCUUUUCCUUUCCCACAGCCAGGGACAUGUCAAACUCUCCCCACCCCACGCUGCUCUUGGAGAUAUUCCCCUGCUUGGGGGCUCUGUUCUCAGGCUCCUUCUAGCACAUUCUCUAGCUCUCCUUCCUCUCAUCCCCACCCACCUGCUUCAAAUAAUGCAAUCCUUACAGAGGAUGCUUCUUGGGGUGCUUAAGAAACGACACGGGGCCUGACCCUGACCUGAGCCCCUCGUGACCGACGUACAAAUCCGAUUUCAUGGGUUAGUAUUAGGUGGAGCCAGGCAAAAUGGCUGUUAUUCAACCAUGUUGACAUCCAAAAAGAAUGACAACUUCGUGAACUUCAAUCUAAUGAAAGAACCUGGAAUUCUAAUAUCAGAAACAUAUUAGCUGGCAUCCCACCAUACAAAUUUGGAAGUGGGGCAGGGGAAAGGAGCAGGGUCUAUUGUUUUUUGCAAAAUAAAGUCCUUCUCAGCUAGAGGUGAUUCUGCCCUGAGAGGGGAUGAUGGGAAGGGUAUGGCUAUAUUUUUUGUUAUCACAAUGGGAUGGGAGAUGACAUUGGCAUAUAAGGGAGAGAGGUCAGAAUGCUGCUAAAUGUCCUACAAUACAUGGGGCGCCUCUCCACCAUGAUGAAUUAUUUGGCCUAGCACUCAAUAGUAUGAGUUGAGUAUCCCUUAUCCAAAAUGCUUAGGACAAGAAGUGUUUCCCGUGUCAGAUUUGGGUGUUUGGGAAUUUUUUCAUAUGCAUGGAGAUAUUUUAGAGAUAGAACUCAAGUCUAAACAUGAAAUUCAUUUGUUUCACCUAUAACCUUAUACACAUGGCAGGAAGGUAAUUUUUCAUUACUUUUAGUGCACUGAGGAGUGUAGUGCUUUGACUACAAUCAGUCACGUAAGGUCAGGUGUGGAAUAUUCCACUUGUGGAUUUGGAUCAGCUCUCAAAGAGGUUCAGAUUCUGAAGCAUUUCUGAUUUUGGAUUUUCAUGUUAGGGAUGUUUUCACCUACGCUAACAAGGUUGAUAAAAACUUGGCGUCAAGUGUUUUCUGGGGACCCAGAGUCUUAGACAUGUAGUUAAGCAACUUACACUGAGACGACAGCUCUGGUCACCCAGCCAAGGAGGACAUUGUGUCCACGUCCUCUGCUCUGAGGCAGAUCCAAGCGGAACAACUGACUCCCCCAACCCUCCUGGGAUCCAAUGCUACUCCCUGGACUGGCCACCUCCUGGAAGCUGUUCACAGGUGUCGCAAGUAGCCUGCUGCGAUGGGCAUUUUCAAUAUCCCCAACCCCUGCCCAAAUCCCUGAGCCAGAGACUGGGCUCAAUUCCUGUGCCCUUGAAGUUCCCUGCAAGAGAAGGGCUCAUGCCCUUCCCUGCAGCAUGCAAGGCUGCUCCCGCCAGGCUGUGCACCCAGGCUCCUAAAACCACAGAGCACAGCCCUCCCCCAGCAGAGACCGCUCCCUCCCGCCAGCUGUGGCAGGCUCACGUUAUUUCCUGGAAGGGAUUAUGUGUCACUCUCAGUGAUGGAAAAGGGAGCUUAAGAGGUUGCCCGGCACACUCUCCCUUGCCUCCCCAGCUGCUGCUGCUGCCCACCAUUAGGCAAAGAGCUGGAGAGAGGCUGAAUAAGUACAGUUCACGGGCACCGCACCUGAGCUAUAUUCGCCCUUCCUAAGCAACCAACUGGGCUCUUUCCACCUCUUUCUCUUGGCAGGAAGUCCACAUGAGGCUGCAGGACACUUGCCUCUGUUUCCAAACUUGAACCUGACCUACAGCCACAAAAGUAUCACCCACGGAAGGAAAUGGAAGGAAUGAUGGGAAUCAUCUAAACAAGGCCAUGUCAGAAUUUCCAAAAAAUAAUAAAGUCACAAUAGGGUGCUCCAGGAGAUUCCUUAUGAAAGAGAUUCCUCGAUCUCGGCAGAAAACCCUCGCAGGUACCACGGGCCUCAGCCAACAGACGUCUUCCUGCUGCCUGACCCAGCUUCUCUGUGUCCAGCUGCAACUGAAACCCUGCAGUGAAACCAGGGGCAGGGUGGGGGAGUAUUUUUGAAAAUAAAACAGGAGACAUAUGAUCCGUUCCAAUACUUAGCUGUUCUCUGCUUUUCGGAACUUAAAACCUGCCUCUCGUCCACCAAAUGACACAGAGUGCUGGCAGAUGGAGCAGAGAGAAAAGGCUAAAUGUAUUUUAAUGGGACCAUUAGGAUUAUGUCAAAAGGUGAGAAGAAAGCGUUUGCCUGCCAAGAAAAUAAGCAUCAGUCUAAAAGAAAUAGAGUGUGAUCCAUCGCUCCAGUGCUUUCCCACCCACUCCAUUUUUUUUUGGGGGGGGCGGUUUAUGAAACUCUGAUUCCAUAGGAAAGAUCCUAGGUCACCCGUGGUAGGCCAACUGAUGUGGGCAGAAACACUGGUUGAGCCAAAUGGAAUCUGCUCAACUUUCAGCCUCCUGGAGCCUCCAGUGUUGGGAUUUUUCAUUUGACAGACCAACCAACCACCCAUAUCUUCACCGCCAGCACCAACAGUCCCCUCUCAGCCUCUUGAAGCUGGCUAUUAAACCUUGGAACUCUACAAGAAGUUCAAAGCAGAACAGAGAUUUCCAUUGGAACCAGAACAGGUUCUCUCCUGCUUGCUCCACAGCACACAGAUGGGAGGCAGUUAUCAACUCCACAUCCCGGGCUUCUAUUUGGCCUUCCUGGUAAUAACAACAAAGGGAGCCUCCAGGGGAAUGGCUUUUGACCAUUGACAAGGCAAUCUGACACCCAUUUUCUCCUGAGCUCCUUAAGGGAAGGAAAAAAAACCCUCAAAAUUUAGCUGGGCUUUCUAGUCUCCUUUUACAGAUAAGGAAACAACCCACAACUGAUGAGAAAUCCUUAGGCGAGCUCAGCGGGGACGGAACCUCCCGUGGAGCAGAAAGACAAAAGCCCUCUUGAUCCUCAUUGUCAGUGCAAAUCCAGACCAUAAAGGCAGAGCCUCGGGAAGCUUCUGAAAAGUUAAAAGAUAAAAAACAAUUUUUUUAAAAAAGAGAGACAUUGGCAACAAAAGCCUGUCUGCAACUGGCUGGGCCAUCACAGUGACCUCGGCAAUCCCCGUGCAGAGACAAAGGGGAGGGCAAGAUGGCACCCUGGCUAAAACCCAGAGAUGUACCUCCACUGACCGCAUCCUUCAGUUCCUACAAGGACAUCGCCUGUGUGGUCAUGCACACCGAAAUACUCCAGCAUUAACAGUGUGUGUGUGUGUGUGUGUGUAUGCACGCUACAAUCUAU
This 4971-nucleotide long non-coding RNA is filed under the name Marmota monax (woodchuck). The record is from RNAcentral. Lineage: Eukaryota; Metazoa; Chordata; Mammalia; Rodentia; Sciuridae.